UAAUACGGAGGGUGCGAGCGUUAAUCGGAAUUACUGGGCGUAAAGCGCAUGUAGGCGGUUUGAUCAGUCGGAUGUGAAAUCCCCGAGCUUAACUUGGGAAUGGCAUUCGAUACUGUCAAGCUAGAGUAGGCUAGAGGAAAGGGGAAUUCCGCGUGUAGCAGUGAAAUGCGUAGAUAUGCGGAGGAACACCAAUGGCGAAGGCACCUUUCUGGGGUCAUACUGACGCUGAGAUGCGAAAGCGUGGGGAGCAAACAGG
RNAcentral lists this ribosomal RNA (256 nucleotides) under uncultured bacterium. RNAcentral's name for it is "partial 16S ribosomal RNA". It matches the Rfam family "Bacterial small subunit ribosomal RNA", at positions 521 to 776 of the family's 1533-position model. The record is from RNAcentral.